GACGAACGCUGGCGGCGUGCUUAACACAUGCAAGUCGAACGGAAAGGCCCUGCUUUUGUGGGUUGCUCGAGUGGCGAACGGGUGAGUAACACGUGAGUAACCUGCCCUUGACUUUGGGAUAACUUCAGGAAACUGGGGCUAAUACCGGAUAGGAGCUCCUGCUGCAUGGUGUGGGUUGGAAAGUUUCGGCGGUUGGGGAUGGACUCGCGGCUUCUCCGCUUGUUGGUGGGGUAGUUGCUUACCAAGGCUUUGAAGGGUAGCCGGCCUGAGAGGGUGACCGGCCACAUUGGGACUGAGAGACGGCCCAGACUCCUACGGGAGGCAGCAGUGGGGAAUAUUGCACAAUGGGCGGAAGCCUGAUGCAGCAACGCCGCGUGCGGGAUGACGGCCUUCGGGUUGUAAACCGCUUUCGCCUGUGACGAAGAGUGAGUGACGGUAAUGGGUAAAGAAGCACCGGCUAACUACGUG
RNAcentral lists this ribosomal RNA (468 nucleotides) under uncultured bacterium. RNAcentral's name for it is "partial 16S ribosomal RNA". It matches the Rfam family "Bacterial small subunit ribosomal RNA", at positions 28 to 507 of the family's 1533-position model. The record is from RNAcentral.